This 777-nucleotide ribosomal RNA is filed under the name uncultured bacterium. Its description in RNAcentral is "bacterial SSU rRNA". It matches the Rfam family "Bacterial small subunit ribosomal RNA", at positions 59 to 833 of the family's 1533-position model. The record is from RNAcentral.
CAGUCGAACGAAGCACUCUAUUUGAUUUUCUUCGGAAAUGAAGAUUUUGUCACUGAGUGGCGGACGGGUGAGUAACGCGUGGGUAACCUGCCUCAUACAGGGGGAUAACAGUUGGAAACGACUGCUAAUACCGCAUAAGCGCACAGGAUCGCAUGAUCCGGUGUGAAAAACUCCGGUGGUAUGAGAUGGACCCGCGUCUGAUUAGCCAGUUGGCAGGGUAACGGCCUACCAAAGCGACGAUCAGUAGCCGACCUGAGAGGGUGACCGGCCACAUUGGGACUGAGACACGGCCCAAACUCCUACGGGAGGCAGCAGUGGGGAAUAUUGCACAAUGGGGGGAACCCUGAUGCAGCGACGCCGCGUGAGCGAAGAAGUAUUUCGGUAUGUAAAGCUCUAUCAGCAGGGAAGAAGAAUGACGGUACCUGACUAAGAAGCACCGGCUAAAUACGUGCCAGCAGCCGCGGUAAUACGUAUGGUGCAAGCGUUAUCCGGAUUUACUGGGUGUAAAGGGAGCGCAGGCGGUGCGGCAAGUCUGAUGUGAAAGCCCGGGGCUCAACCCCGGUACUGCAUUGGAAACUGUCGUACUAGAGUGUCGGAGGGGUAAGUGGAAUUCCUAGUGUAGCGGUGAAAUGCGUAGAUAUUAGGAGGAACACCAGUGGCGAAGGCGGCUUACUGGACGAUAACUGACGCUGAGGCUCGAAAGCGUGGGGAGCAAACAGGAUUAGAUACCCUGGUAGUCCACGCCGUAAACGAUGACUGCUAGGUGUCGGGUGGCAA